Molecule: ribosomal RNA, 376 nt
Filed under: uncultured soil bacterium
Lineage: Bacteria
Description: bacterial SSU rRNA
Rfam family: Bacterial small subunit ribosomal RNA
Source: RNAcentral
AGAUUGAACGCUGGCGGCAUGCCUUACACAUGCAAGUCGAACGGCAGCACGGGAGCAAUCCUGGUGGCGAGUGGCGAACGGGUGAGUAAUACAUCGGAACGUGCCCAAUCGUGGGGGAUAACGCAGCGAAAGCUGUGCUAAUACCGCAUAAGAUCUACGGAUGAAAGCAGGGGAUCGCAAGACCUUGCGCGAAUGGAGCGGCCGAUGGCAGAUUAGGUAGUUGGUGAGGUAAAGGCUCACCAAGCCUUCGAUCUGUAGCUGGUCUGAGAGGACGACCAGCCACGACUGGGACUGAGACACGGCCCAGACUCCUACGGGAGCAGCGAGUGGGGAAUUUGGACAGUGGACAAAGCCUGAUCCGAGCCAUGCCGCGUGC